AGAGUUUGAUCAUGGCUCAGAACGAACGCUGGCGGCAGGCUUAACACAUGCAAGUCGAACGCGUGUAGCAAUACACGAGUGGCGCACGGGUGAGUAACGCGUGGAUAUCUGCCUUUUGGUUCGGAAUAACCCCGGGAAACUGGGGCUAAUACCGGAUGGUUCCUUCGGGAUAAAGAUUUAUCGCCAAAAGAUGAGUCCGCGUACGAUUAGCUAGUUGGUGAGGUAAUGGCUCACCAAGGCAACGAUCAGUAUCCGGCCUGAGAGGGCGGACGGCCACACUGGGACUGAGACACGGCCCAGACUCCUACGGGAGGCAGCAGUGGGGAAUUGUUCGCAAUGGGCGCAAGCCUGACGACGCAACGCCGCGUGGAGGAUGAAGGUCUUCGGAUUGUAAACUCCUGUUGCUUGGGACGAAUGGCUCCAACCUAAUACGUUGGAGUGUGACGGUACCAGGUGAGGAAGCCCCGGCUAACUCUGUGCCAGCCGCCGCGGUAAUACA
This 499-nucleotide ribosomal RNA is filed under the name uncultured bacterium. RNAcentral's name for it is "bacterial SSU rRNA". It matches the Rfam family "Bacterial small subunit ribosomal RNA", at positions 8 to 527 of the family's 1533-position model. The record is from RNAcentral.